CGUUUAGGGGUAAACCUGAGAAACCCGAAAGGUCGAAGGGAGAAAUUCAUCGCGUUUCGACGUUGGCGAUAAGCGAAUGGAGUGACGGGAGACGUACGCGUUUCCUUGCGCCCUUCGUUUGUUGAACUAAUGACGAACGUGUGCACUUUUUUCCUGGUAGGACGUCGCGAUCCGUUGAGUGUCGGUCUACAGUUUACGGUAGAGUUCACAAGUCAUUAUGCAUUUGUGAAUCCGUAUUUCUUGGCCGACUUGCUCGACGGUAUAAUCUAUGGUUCGGGGCCGCUUUUCGAAGCGUCUGACUCGUUGCAAGCGCGCCUUGAUGUAUUGAAGACCGGACUUUGUGCCGAUCCCGAUCUCAGGUGACUGUUGGCUUCGAUGUUCUUGGACAGUGCCUUCUGCGACCGAUCUGCGACGCUAUAGCUUUGGGUACUUUCAGGACCCGUCUUGAAACACGGACCAAGGAGUCUAGCAUGUACGCAAGUCAUUGGGAAUUACUAAACCUAAAGGCGUAAUGAAAGUAAAGAUUUACCUUGCGUAGAUCAAGGGAAGAUGGGCGGUUUACCCUUAAAAGUAGCCGUUCAGCAUUCCCGGGGCGUCUCAUUCUCAUUGCGAGAGGAGGCGCACCAAGAGCGUACACGCUGGGACCCGAAAGAUGGUGAACUAUGCCUGGUCAGGACGAAGUCAGGGGAAACCCUGAUGGAGGUCCGUAGCGAUUCUGACGUGCAAAUCGAUCGUCGGAACUGGGUAUAGGGGCGAAAGACUAAUCGAACCAUC
Molecule: ribosomal RNA, 774 nt
Filed under: Hylesinopsis fasciatus
Lineage: Eukaryota; Metazoa; Arthropoda; Insecta; Coleoptera; Curculionidae
Description: eukaryotic LSU rRNA
Rfam family: Eukaryotic large subunit ribosomal RNA
Source: RNAcentral